RNAcentral lists this ribosomal RNA (724 nucleotides) under uncultured bacterium. RNAcentral describes it as "bacterial SSU rRNA". It matches the Rfam family "Bacterial small subunit ribosomal RNA", at positions 8 to 749 of the family's 1533-position model. The record is from RNAcentral.
AGAGUUUGAUCCUGGCUCAGGACGAACGCUGGCGGCGUGCUUAACACAUGCAAGUCGAGCGGAAAGGCCCUUCGGGGUACUCGAGCGGCGAACGGGUGAGUAACACGUGAGUAAUCUGCCCCUAGCUCUGGGAUAGCUCCGGGAAACCGGGAUUAAUACCGGAUACGACUCCUUCGGACAUCUGAAGGAGUGGAAAGAUUUAUCGGCUAGGGAUGAGCUCGCGGCCUAUCAGCUUGUUGGUGGGGUAACGGCCUACCAAGGCGACGACGGGUAGUCGGCCUGAGAGGGCGACCGGCCACACUGGGACUGAGACACGGCCCAGACUCCUACGGGAGGCAGCAGUGGGGAAUAUUGCGCAAUGGGCGAAAGCCUGACGCAGCGACGCCGUGUGGGGGAUGAAGGCCUUCGGGUUGUAAACCCCUUUCAGCAGGGACGAAGCGAAAGUGACGGUACCUGCAGAAGAAGCGCCGGCUAACUACGUGCCAGCAGCCGCGGUAACACGUAGGGCGCAAGCGUUGUCCGGAAUUAUUGGGCGUAAAGAGCUCGUAGGCGGUCUGUUGCGUCCGCUGUGAAAACUCGGGGCUUAACCCCGAGCCUGCAGUGGAUACGGGCAGACUAGAGGUAGGUAGGGGAGAAUGGAAUUCCCGGUGUAGCGGUGAAAUGCGCAGAUAUCGGGAGGAACACCGGUGGCGAAGGCGGUUCUCUGGGCCUUACCUGACGCUGA